This 1230-nucleotide ribosomal RNA is filed under the name Triticum aestivum (bread wheat). Its description in RNAcentral is "partial small subunit ribosomal RNA". Lineage: Eukaryota; Viridiplantae; Streptophyta; Magnoliopsida; Poales; Poaceae. The record is from RNAcentral.
AUGGGAAUGGGCGUGCGGCGUGGAACUGCAACGAUGCAGGGCAGGAGCUUCAUCUUCGUCCUUGUUGUGCUGUUGGCCGUGGCGACUGGCGUUUCCGGCCGAACCACGUACACGGGCAGCAGCAACACUGCAAGUGCUAGUGGUGCACGAGUGACGACGCCGCCGGCGACGGGGAAGAAGCAAGGCCACCAUGACCAUUUGGUCAAGCCGAAGCCGCAGACCAAGGAGACCAACACCAAGCAGGUGCCUGCGCUGGUGGUGUUCGGCGACUCCAUCGUGGACCCGGGGAACAACAACGCCAUCCACACCAUCAUCAAGGCCAACUUCCCGCCCUACGGCCACGACUUCGGCGCCGACCACCGCCCCACCGGCCGCUUCUGCAACGGCCGGAUCCCCACCGACUUCAUCGCCUCCAAGCUGGGGCUCAAGCAGCUCCUCCCGGCCUACCUGCAGCAGUCCCCGAACCUCACCACCCACGACCUGCUCACCGGCGUCAGCUUCGCGUCGGGCGGGACCGGCUACGACCCGCUCACCGCGCAGCUCGCCUCCGUCAUCUCCAUGACGGACCAGCUCCGCAUGUUCCAUGAGUACAAGGCCAAGGUCCGGGCCCUGGCUGGCGACGCCGCUCUCUCGGAGAUCCUCUCGAAGGGAGUCUUCGCGGUGUGCGCGGGCAGCGACGACGUGGCCAACACCUACUUCACCAUGCGCGCCCGCAGCUCCUACUCGCACGCCGACUACGCGUCCCUCAUCGUGUCCCACGCCGGCGCCUUCCUCGACGGCCUGCUCUCCGCGGGGGCCAAGCGAGUGGCCAUCAUCUCCAUGCCGCCCAUCGGGUGCGUGCCGUCCCAGCGCACGCUCUCGGGCGGCAUGGCGCGGGACUGCUCGUCGGGCCACAACGAGAUCGCCGAGAUGAUCAACGCCGGCAUGGGCACCACCGUGGAGUCGCUCAAGGCCAAGCACCAGGGGGCGAGGGUGGUGCUCAUGGACAUCUACGGGUACUUGUUCGACAUGAUGAUGCGCCCGGAGGGGUACGGGUUCAAGGAGUCCACGCUGGGCUGCUGCGGCACCGGCAUGAUGGAGGUCUCCGUGCUCUGCAACGGUGUUACGUCGGCGGUGUGCGGCGACGUCACCGACUAUUUGUUCUGGGACAGCUACCACCCCACGGAGAAGGCGUAUCGUAUCCUCGUCGACUUCGUCUACGACAACUACCUCAAGGAGCUCAUCGACUGA